AGGAUUAGAUGCAGAGGACCAAGUAAGGCAAGGCCUUUUAAAGGUUAAUUUUGUGACUGAAAGCUGGUCUAAUGUUACUAAGAAACUGCAAAAGAUUGAUUGAUGGAAUGAAAAACCGAUUAAGAAUUACUGAGGGAAGCCCAAAAGGUUUUUGUAAGAAGAAAGAAAAGAGAAACUGAGAAAGAAAGAAAAAGAAAAAGUAAAAAAGGAAAUUGGAAAGAGAAAGAGGAGGAAACGGCAAACACAGAGGACAGAGAGAGAAAGAGGUAAGCUGCUGAUCCUGAAAGCAGCGGAGAGCUGGCCAUGCAGCUGCAGGCAUGGGGCUGGCAGAAGCUGCAGAGCUGGACCAGACAGUUGAGAUAAAAGUGGACAGUGUGAGAAAGCUGUUAAUAAAAGCUGCUGCUGAACCUUUGUCAUUUCGGCAGAGCUGUCUGUCUUUGCAGACAGAUGGGAGGAGCCAGGUGCCCAGAGACAAAAAGAGGAAGAAACUAACUAAGGGAGAAAGAAAACAGGGGUUGACAGAGAGAGAUAGAAAAAGAAAAUGAGCAAGAGAGAGACUGGGAAAGACAGAGAUCAAAGAGAGACACAGAAGGUGAGACUGGGGAGAGAGAUAAUGUAAAAGGAAGAAAGAGUACAAGAGGAAGUGAGAGGAUGCAGAGAGGCUGGCAGGGCUGAGAAAAGGAUCUAGAGGCUCAAGCAACAAGGAGGUGCAGGGAAAGGGUGGAGCAUGGCCACUGAGGAGAGACAGAGCCAGAGAACUGGAGGAUGCAAGUGAGAAAGGGAUGUGGAGGAGAGUGUAGAAUCAGGCUGCUUGAGGAAUAGUAGGCUGCCUACAGCAAAGACUAGAUGGCUGUAUGUCAGGAGGUAAAUAGAGAGGAUUCAGGUUAUGAAAGGGUAAACCGAUAAGAUGACCGUUAAGGUUUUGUUGUUUUACUGAGAGGCUGUAAAUCCACCAGGGGAAGCUGUCACUAAGGCUGCAGAGGGGCUGGAGAGCUACACAGGGAAGAUCAGAACUACUGUUGUAAACAAUGCCGCUGGGUUAGGGUCUCCCCGACUGAGCUGGUAUCAGCAAAUGGCAUCCAUCAUGGGGACUCAAAUCCAGGUCAAAGGUUUGCCAGAGGGAUGGUUGGAGAACAUGGAACUAGCUAGAGGACACCUGAGUACUCUUAAAGCAAUCCCUGUGGCCAAAAUCAACAGCCAAUUUGGAUACCAUCAAGACAAAUGAAACCUUAUCAUGAGCCAGAUUCUGGGAGGAUCCCGAGGACCCCUCAGUUGAAGCCAUGUCAAGACUGACGUUGAGGAAGACCCCAGCUUUCACGAGCAACACCCGUUUAACACAGCCACCCACCUGGGGAGAGAUCACGAAGCUGUCACAGAUUGUGGAAGAAAACCUGAGAAAAGCAGGACAACCAGUCACAAUGAGUAAUUUAAUGGUAGCUAUGAUAGCAGUUAUCACCCUGCCAUGAGUAUUCCUUCAACAAGGGCUGACACAGAGAACAAUUAUACUUACUGGGCAUAUAUAUCAAUCCUGGAUGGUAAUAAUGCCUGAAUAUAAUCACUCUAUGACACAGUUACACAUGCUUUCUGAUCUCAGUAUUUACCCUAAUAAAUUUGUUCCUAUAAUUGAGGCAUACCACCUUAAAAAACCUAUUUGUAAACAAAAUAGAACCUGGCCAGAAAUAAUGAAUGUACUUGUUUAGGAAGAUUGCUUUACAGAACAGGCAGAGGGGCUGCAUAACGAUUCCUAUGGAAUCUUUAUUGAUUGGUCCCCUAAAGGGAUGUUUAACCUAAAUUGCACCUCUCAGUCUGCAUGCCAUGGCCACACUAUGCUCAGCUGAUCUAAACAAAAUGGUCAGAUGGUAGAAAUGAUAAGAAGUAUGGCAAAAGUUCCUAUUAUCUGAAACCAUGGCAGUAUAGUGGCACCUCAACCUCAAAUGAUAUGGCUUAUUGUAGGAGGUAAACAUGAAGGAUUUGUGGAAACUAUUAAUAGCUCUUAAUAAGAUCAAAAUUUGGGAAAGAAUAAAAAAGUAUCUAGAAGGACACACUACAAACUUGUUUUUGGAUAUGGCAAAAUUAGAAGAACAAAUAUUUAAAACAUCUCAAGCACACAUGGCCUUAAUGCCAGGAACUGGAGUGUUUAAAGGAGCUGCAGACAGAUUAGCAGCUAGUAACCCAUUAAAAUGGAUAAAAAUACUUGGAAGCUCUGUAAUUUCAAUGAUGAUUGUGCUUUUAAUCUGUGUUGUUUGUCUUUGUAUAGUCUGCAGAUGUGGAUCCUGACUCCUGUGAGAAGUAGCUCACCAUGACAAAGCUGCCUUUGCUUUUAUCGCUUUGCAAAUCAAAUAAGGGGGACAUGUAGGGAACAGGCCCCCCCCAAAAUCUGGCCAUAAACUGGCCACAAAACUGGCCAUAAACAAAAUCUCUGCAGCACUGUAUCAUGUUCAUGAUGGCCAUAACGCCCACACUGGAAGGUUGUGGGUUUACCAGAAUGAGGUCAAGGAACACCUGGCCCGCCCAGGGUGGAAAACCUCUUAAAGGCAUUUUUAAGCCACAAACAAAAGCAUGAGUGAUCUGUGCCUUAAGGACAUGCUUCUAUUGCAGUUAACUAGCCCAACCUAUUACUUUAAUUUGGCCCAUCCCUUCGUUUCCCAUAAGGGAUACUUUUAGUUAAUUUAAUAUCUAUAGAAACAAUGCUAAUGACUAGCUUGCUGUUAAUAAAUAUGUGGGCAAAUCUUUGUUCAGGGCUCUCAGCUCUGAAGGCUGUGAGGGCCCUGAUUUCCCACUUCACACCUC
This 2790-nucleotide long non-coding RNA is filed under the name Homo sapiens (human). RNAcentral describes it as "HSALNT0283882". The record is from RNAcentral. Lineage: Eukaryota; Metazoa; Chordata; Mammalia; Primates; Hominidae.